GGAGGAGUGACCGAAUCUGGCAAGGAGCCGGUCUCGAAAACCGGUAAGGCCGAAUGGCCCUGUGGGUUCGAGUCCCACCUCCUCCGCCA
This 89-nucleotide transfer RNA is filed under the name Candidatus Bipolaricaulota bacterium. RNAcentral's name for it is "tRNA-Ser". It matches the Rfam family "tRNA". Rfam says of the family: Transfer RNA (tRNA) molecules are approximately 80 nucleotides in length. Their secondary structure includes four short double-helical elements and three loops (D, anti-codon, and T loops). Further hydrogen bonds mediate the characteristic L-shaped molecular structure. tRNAs have two regions of fundamental functional importance: the anti-codon, which is responsible for specific mRNA codon recognition, and the 3' end, to which the tRNAs corresponding amino acid is attached (by aminoacyl-tRNA synthetases). tRNAs cope with the degeneracy of the genetic code in two manners: having more than one tRNA (with a specific anti-codon) for a particular amino acid; and 'wobble' base-pairing, i.e. permitting non-standard base-pairing at the 3rd anti-codon position. The record is from RNAcentral. Lineage: Bacteria; Candidatus Bipolaricaulota.